This is a non-coding RNA of Biomphalaria pfeifferi, 980 nucleotides long. The record is from the annotation of a GenBank genome assembly. Lineage: Eukaryota; Metazoa; Mollusca; Gastropoda; Planorbidae.
CUGACCUGUAGCCUUUGUCUUAUGGUGGCUGACCUGUAGCCUUUGUUUCAUGGUGACUUGUGGCUCUGUGGUAUGUGUUCCUAGGAUUUCACGAAAUCCUUCCUACGAGUUACACUACCAGGACAAAGGAUAAAUAAACCAUAGUUGAUCAACUUGGACAGAUUUAGGUAGUCACUCUUGAGUGUAGACUGCCGUUAGAAAAGCUCUUUGGAUGAAGAGGUUAAACUCCCAUUCCAGUGCACAAUUCAAGGUUAAGGCUAGGGUUAGGGUUAGACCAGUCAAAGACAUUGAAACUAUAAAGGAUAAAAGAAACACUUUUCUUAAACGUAGGUGUCCAGCUGUUUAGAUCUCGGAUUAUUGACAUUCUCAUUGAGUGUUCAGAGACAACUUUUUCAUAAAUUUAAAGGAUGUUAAAAGUCAUUUACAUCAACUUUUGGAGAGUCGAUAAACUGUCUACAAAUAUCUAAUAUUAUCCUAAACAAUGAAGAUUUUGAUCAGAAAAUAGUGUUUUAUAGUUGGCAGUGUCCGAGAAUGCCCUUACUGACCUGUUGUUUGUUUAAUCAGAAAUUCGAUAUACGCUUGGAAUACUAUGAAUGACUGUGUACAAUUUUGUAACAAUAAUUUGCUUGUACAUCAUAUUUAAUGAUUUAUCAAUGUAAUCUUAUUUCCUUUCAUGAAGAAAUCAUUAUCUAUUUUCUGUUUAACCUUGUCACUGUAAUGUACAUUUCAAUACAUGUCCUAUUUAUUUGUACUAUAACAAUGUAAUGAAUAAGGAAGAGGUGUUAAAUAAUGGAUACAAACUUGAAUGGCUACUCUCAUGCCUUUAUACUGUUGUACAGUCCCCUUAUUGUAAUGACUUUGUAUAGCCUGACAUCAACUGCUUGGUUGAUUGCAUAGCCAACUUAGUUUUAGAUCACGUGAUUGAUGCUCUGGCCAUGCCGUGUCAAAUUGAGUGGAGCCUGCGGGGGGGGGGGGGGGGG